This 463-nucleotide ribosomal RNA is filed under the name uncultured bacterium. RNAcentral describes it as "partial 16S ribosomal RNA". It matches the Rfam family "Bacterial small subunit ribosomal RNA", at positions 338 to 795 of the family's 1533-position model. The record is from RNAcentral.
CCUACGGGUGGCAGCAGUGGGGAAUCUUCCGCAAUGGGCGAAAGCCUGACGGAGCAACGCCGCGUGAUAGAAUGAAGGCCUGCGGGUUGUAAAGAUCUGUUGACAGGGACGAAGAAGCAAUGCGAAUAGUGUUGUGUAUGACGGUACCUGGUGAGAAAGCGCCGGCCAAAUACGUGCCAGCAGCCGCGGUAAUACGUGGGGAGCAAGCGUUGUCCGGAAUUACUGGGCGUAAAGGGCGCGUAGGUGGGCGCGUAAGUCAGGUGGGAAAACUCCGGCUCAACCUGGAGACUGCCCUUGAAACUGGGUGUCUUGAGGGCAGGAGCGGCAAGUGGAAUUCCUAGUGUAGCGGUGAAAUUCGUAGAUAUUAGGAGGAACACCAGUGGCGAAGGCGACUUUCUGGACUGUACCUGACGCUGAGGCGCGAAAGCGUGGGUAGCGAACGGGAUUAGAUACCCUAGUAGUC